This 1372-nucleotide ribosomal RNA is filed under the name uncultured bacterium. RNAcentral describes it as "bacterial SSU rRNA". It matches the Rfam family "Bacterial small subunit ribosomal RNA", at positions 28 to 1381 of the family's 1533-position model. The record is from RNAcentral.
GAUGAACGCUGGCGGCGUGCCUAAUACAUGCUAGUCGAGCGAACGGACGAGAAGCUUGCUUCUCUGAUGUUAGCGGCGGACGGGUGAGUAACACGUGGAUAACCUACCUAUAAGACUGGGAUAACUUCGGGAAACCGUAGCUAAUACCGGAUAAUAUUUUGAACCGCAUGGUUCAAAAGUGAAAGACGGUCUUGCUGUCACUUAUAGAUGGAUCCGCGCCGCAUUAGCUAGUUGGUAAGGUAACGGCUUACCAAGGCAACGAUGCAUAGCCGACCUGAGAGGGUGAUCGGCCACACUGGAACUGAGACACGGUCCAGACUCCUACGGGAGGCAGCAGUAGGGAAUCUUCCGCAAUGGGCGAAAGCCUGACGGAGCAACGCCGCGUGAGUGAUGAAGGUCUUCGGAUCGUAAAACUCUGUUAUUAGGGAAGAACAUAUGUGUAAGUAACUGUGCACAUCUUGACGGUACCUAAUCAGAAAGCCACGGCUAACUACGUGCCAGCAGCCGCGGUAAUACGUAGGUGGCAAGCGUUAUCCGGAAUUAUUGGGCGUAAAGCGCGCGUAGGCGGUUUUUUAAGUCUGAUGUGAAAGCCCACGGCUCAACCGUGGAGGGUCAUUGGAAACUGGAAAACUUGAGUGCAGAAGAGGAAAGUGGAAUUCCAUGUGUAGCGGUGAAAUGCGCAGAGAUAUGGAGGAACACCAGUGGCGAAGGCGACUUUCUGGUCUGUAACUGACGCUGAUGUGCGAAAGCGUGGGGAUCAAACAGGAUUAGAUACCCUGGUAGUCCACGCCGUAAACGAUGAGUGCUAAGUGUUAGGGGGUUUCCGCCCCUUAGUGCUGCAGCUAACGCAUUAAGCACUCCGCCUGGGGAGUACGACCGCAAGGUUGAAACUCAAAGGAAUUGACGGGGACCCGCACAAGCGGUGGAGCAUGUGGUUUAAUUCGAAGCAACGCGAAGAACCUUACCAAAUCUUGACAUCCUUUGACAACUCUAGAGAUAGAGCCUUCCCCUUCGGGGGACAAAGUGACAGGUGGUGCAUGGUUGUCGUCAGCUCGUGUCGUGAGAUGUUGGGUUAAGUCCCGCAACGAGCGCAACCCUUAAGCUUAGUUGCCAUCAUUAAGUUGGGCACUCUAAGUUGACUGCCGGUGACAAACCGGAGGAAGGUGGGGAUGACGUCAAAUCAUCAUGCCCCUUAUGAUUUGGGCUACACACGUGCUACAAUGGACAAUACAAAGGGCAGCGAAACCGCGAGGUCAAGCAAAUCCCAUAAAGUUGUUCUCAGUUCGGAUUGUAGUCUGCAACUCGACUACAUGAAGCUGGAAUCGCUAGUAAUCGUAGAUCAGCAUGCUACGGUGAAUACGUUCCCGGGUCU